Molecule: ribosomal RNA, 253 nt
Filed under: uncultured bacterium
Lineage: Bacteria
Description: partial 16S ribosomal RNA
Rfam family: Bacterial small subunit ribosomal RNA
Source: RNAcentral
UACGUAGGGUGCGAGCGUUGUCCGGAAUUAUUGGGCGUAAAGAGCUCGUAGGCGGUUUGUCGCGUCUAUCGUGAAAACCUGGGGCUUAACUCCGGGCUUGCGGUGGAUACGGGCAGACUUGAGUUCGGUAGGGGAGACUGGAAUUCCUGGUGUAGCGGUGAAAUGCGCAGAUAUCAGGAGGAACACCAGUGGCGAAGGCGGCUCACUGGUCCGGUACUGACGCUGAGGUGCGAAAGCGUGGGGAGCAAACAGG